This is a long non-coding RNA of Dunckerocampus dactyliophorus (ringed pipefish), 4403 nucleotides long. RefSeq lists it as uncharacterized. The transcript has 4 exons. The record is from RefSeq and is a predicted model, not a curated record. Lineage: Eukaryota; Metazoa; Chordata; Actinopteri; Syngnathiformes; Syngnathidae.
CCUCAUGUGAUCAGCCACAGCCGGUAGUACAGCGCAGAAGAAAGGUGACAGCGUGAAGUUGUUCGUUGUUCUGUGUGCUUGAGAUGAACAAAUAAGUUGCAGCCACUUUGUUCGGCGGUCCCUGAACACGCAGAUUGAGACUUUCUCCGACACCGCACACAGACAGAUGUGUAUUUUCUAUUCUUCCUUUCACCUCGUCCUUGUUCACAAAUGUUAAUGCCGUGCGUAAAUGCACGGAGGUGAGCUUUAAUAAUGUAAGCUCUGUGCUGCUGUGCAUUUUUGCUUGGUGCAUAAAGCUACAUGUGCUCAUAUGUCCAUUUGGCUCAGUAAUACGCCUCAUAUUGAAUUAAUGUCCAUUAUGUGUCCAAAGCACAGCAAAAGAGCAUAAAGAUCACAGUUCACCACAUCUUACCACAACUUCCAUCCAUCAUUUUCUACGCCGCUUCUCCUCAUUAGGGUUGUAGGGGUAUGCUGGAGCCUAUCCCAGCUAACUUCGGGCGACAGGCGGGGUACACCCUGGACUGGUCGGCAGCCAAUCGCAGGGCACAUAUAGACAAACAACCAUUCACACUCACAUUCAUACCUAUGGACAAUUUAGAGUCACCAAUUAACCUAACAUGCAUGUUUUUGGAAUGUGGGAGGCAACCGGAGUACCCGGAUAAAACCCACACACGUACGGGGAGAACAUGCAAACUCCACACAGAAAUGCCCAACGGAGAUUCGACCCACGUCUUCCCAAUCUCUGGACUGUGAGGCCAACAUGCUAACCACUAGACGGACCACUGUGCCAGGAAAUAUCGUACCCCUCUAAAACUCUGUUUUAAAUUAGUAGCCAAUGUGCGUAGAUGAAAAAUAAGACACGUUUUUUUAAUAUAAUGUCCAUCCAUCCUUUUUGUAUGCCGCUUAUCCACAUUAGGGGGUAUGCUGGAGCUUAUCCCAGCUGACUUUGGGCGAGAGGCGGGGUACACCCUGGACUGGUCGCCAGCCAAUCGCAGGGCUAAUAUGUCAUAAAUUGAAUAAUAUAACAAAGAUGUUUCAUUGUGUGGCUUUUGUGUUUUGAGUGUGCAGGAGUAAGAAGAUGUUUCGCCUCUCAUGUAAGCAGGCUUCAUCAUGUCAUGAUCAAAGACUAGAUAGGCCAGUUGUAGUCUGAGAAGAUGGUGCAGGAUCCAAAGUAUUUAUCCUCCGUUUUCAGACUUUCGUGGUGCAAAAUGAGAUACAAUGUAGCGUGGCCUAUGUCGGCCAACGGCAGUCGUUUUGAGUGGAACCACCCACGUUAGCAUUCCAUUCAAGUUGUGACAAUGGUCACGGACGCACCUGAAACCAAAGGUGGUUGUGUCGUGUUGUGUUAAAGGCUGAUUUAGGCUAAACCUUUUUAGGACGGGAGAAAGGACAGCGUUUUAUGUGGGAUAUAGGUGGUGUCGCAGACCUCCCCCUCUGUUGAGAGAUCGGUUCUCAACCUUGACAUAGAUGGCCUCCCUCACUCCUCGUCCAAACCAUCUGUCCUGUUGAUCCAGAAUAUGUACAACUGCUAACAACUGCCAUUAGCUGGCACAGGCCCCACUCCAUUGUAUCUCAAUGACUGUCGUUUUGCACCACAAAACCAUUCUUGUUUGGGCCUGCCUCCACCUUAGAGGACACAUUCUGUGGAUCGAGCUCCUCUUUGAGCAUGAAGUGAUGAAGCCUGCUCGGAUGAGACAUCCUGAACAGUCCAGUUGCAAUGGAUUGAAUGCCCUGAGAACACAUGGAUGAAUGAGAAUAUUCACAGACAAUUACAAGUAUUCUUGUUAAAGGACUCACUGUAUUUCACUAUUUUCUGCAUCUUCUCCCACACUUGAUAUUUGAGCGUUCCAAGAUGCUUCGCCACAUCAAUCAGAGCACCAGAAAGCGUUUGUGGCUCGAAGGAACUGACCCAGGUUCUGCAAACGUACGCGGAUCACAUUGGAGAGCGACGCCAUCUCCUCGUUCAUCUCCUCGAUGCUCUGCUGGAUCAUCAGGUUCUUCUGAGCCUCCUCGGCCUUCAGGGCGGAGAGCCUGGCCGCCUCCUGCUCCUGCAGGAAGCGGUGGAGGGCCUCGAAUUCCGCCUUGAUCUGAGUCUCUGUGUGUUCUGCCUGGCACUGCAUAAAGAUUUGGUUCGUCACUGGUCGGAACCAACAGUUUUUGAUAUGAGCCCUUGAAAAUUUUGAUGAAAAAAAUCCAUCCAUCCAUCUUUGGUCGGGUCACGUGUGCAGCAGCCUAAGCAGGGAAGCCCAGACUUCCUUCUCCCUGGCUACUCCAUCCAGCUCCUCCCGGCAGAUCUUGAGACGUUCCCAGGCCAAUUGAGAGGCAUCGUCUCUCCAACGUGUCCUGGGAGGUGCCCUGCACACCUCCCCAAGGAGGCGUCCGGGAGGCAUCCUUACCACAUCACCUGGCUCUUCUCAGUGCUGUGGAGAAGUGGUUCUCCUCCGAGUUUCUCCCGGAUGCUUCUCACCUUAUCUCUAAGGGAGAGUCCAACCUACGGAGAACUCAUUUCGACCUCUUGUACCCGCGAUCUUGUCCUUUCGGUCACUACCCAAAGCUCGUGACCAUAGGUGAGGGUAGGAAGAUAGGUCGACCGGUAAAUUGAGAGCGUUGCCUUUCCGCUCAGCUCCCUCUUCACCACAACGGACCAAUGCAGAGUCCACAUAAAUGCAAUAUUUGUUUAAAAAAAAAAGAUGUUCUAAAAUGUACUAUAAGUUGCUGUCAUAAGUUCUGUCAUUUAAACACGCUUCCUUGCAGGAGUGCUCCAAAUGCUUCAGAUUGUGAGGGCGUUUCUUGUGAACGGACAGUACCUUGACAUGCUCGACCAUGUCUUCGCACACCAUUUUGGCUGUCUUGUACAGCUGCAGCUUCUCCUUCAAAGGCCGCAGGGCACCCUUCAGCUCCUCCUAUAGAACCAAUUGACAGGGCGUCGACAACACAACUUUUUACUUUUUAUGAAUAAGAGAGGGGGAAAAAAAUCCAAACCUACAUGGCCGUGGCAGAAAGUAAUUGAGAUCUAUCAGUCUGGAAAAGGUUAUAAAGCAAUUUUUAAAGCUCUAAAGCUUUGGGACUCCAGCCAACCACAGUGCGAGCCAUUAUCCACAAAUGGUGAAAACAGUGGUGAAUCUUCCCAGGAGUGGUCAGCCAAACAAAAUGACCCAAGAGCGCAGCUAUGACUCAUCCAAGAGGUCACCAAAGACCCCACAACAACAUCCAAAGAGCUGCAGGCCUCACUUGCCUCAGUUCAGGUCAGUGUUCAUGACUCCACCAUAAGAAAGACGCUUGGAAAAAACGGCCUGCAUGGCAGACUUCCAAGACAAGAACCACUGGUGAACAAAAAGAACAUUAAGGCUCGUCUCAAUUUUGUCAGAAAACAUCUUGAUGAUCCCUAAGACCUUUGGGAAAAUACUCUGUGGUCUGAGGAGACCAAGGUUGAACUUUUAGGAGGGUGUGUGUCCCAUUACAUCUGGCAUAAAAGUAACGCCAGAAAAAGAACGUCAUACCAACAGUAAAGUAUGGUGGUGGUAGUGUGAUGGUCUGGGCUGUUUUGCUGCUUCAGGACCUGGAAGAUUUGCUUAAAUGGAACCAUGAAUUCAGCUGUCUACCAAAAAAUCCUGAAGGAGAAUGUCCGGCCAUCUGUCCGUGACCUCAAGCUGAAACCAACUUGGGUUCUGGAGCAGGACAAUGAUCCAAAACACACCAGCAAGUCCACCUCUCAAUGGCUGAAGAAAAACUAAAUGAAGACUUUGGAGUGGCCUAGUCAAAGUCCUGACCUGAAUCCUAUUGAGAUGCUGUGGCAUGACCUUAAAAAUGUGCUUCAUGCUGGAAAACCCUCCAAUGUGGCUGAAUUACAACAAUUCUGCAAAGAUGAGUGGGCCAAAAUUCCUCCACAACGCUGUAAGAGACUCAUUGCAAGUUAUCGUACAAGCUUGAUUGCAGUUGUUGCUGCUAAGGGUGAACCAACCAGUUAUUAGGUUUAGGGGGCAAUCACUUUUUCACACAGGGCCAUGUAGGUUUGGAUUUUUUUUUCCUCCCUUAGUAAAUGUGACAAACAUGCAAAAACAUAAGAAAUCAGGAAGGGGCAAACACUUUUUCACACCACUGUACAGUAAAUCAGUACAGUAUCAUCACCUCAUGAUAUUAUCACACAUUUGAUUAGUAUCAUUUUCAUUUUGUAUUGUAUCAUUACCAACACACUUGCAUUGAAAUGAGAAGUCAAGGUGCCAAGCAGGAAUUUGAGUGAACUAUUGUAUAAUUCAUUUUAAAUGGGGUUUGAUGACCAAAAAUGCAGUACAAAUAUUCUGUCAAAACUGACAGAACAAAUAAAUUCGGCAAGAAAGAUUGUCUAUUUUAUUUGUUUUACUUAAUAUAAUAUCAAUAUAUUUUAAAAAAAUUAAUCAAUACAA